GAAAUGCGAUAAGUAAUGUGAAUUGCAGAAUUCAGUGAAUCAUCGAAUCUUUGAACGCACAUUGCGCUCGCCAGUAUUCUGGCGAGCAUGCCUGUUCGAGCGUCAUUUCAACCAUCAAGCUCUGCUUGCGUUGGGGAUCCGCGGCUGCCCGCGGUCCCUCAAAAACAGUGGCGGGCUCGCUAGUCACACCGAGCGUGUAACUCUACAUCGCUAUGGUCGUGCGGCGGGUUCUUGCCGUAAAACCCCCAAUUUCUAAGGUUGACCUCGGAUCAGGUAGGAAUACCCGCUGAACUUAAGC
This 298-nucleotide unclassified non-coding RNA is filed under the name plant metagenome. Its description in RNAcentral is "partial contains 5.8S ribosomal RNA, internal transcribed spacer 2, and large subunit ribosomal RNA". The stretch from base 1 to 105 matches the Rfam family "5.8S ribosomal RNA", at positions 50 to 154 of the family's 154-position model. The record is from RNAcentral.